CAGAGGAAGAUGAGCUAGACGAAGAGGAGGAGGAAGAGGAGGAGUCCUACAACAGACACACACACACACACACACACACACACACACACAUACAUGAUUUUCACACACAUACAGACCAUGAAUUUAAUUAAUGUAUAUAUCUGUGACUGAAUGUAUGUAUGGUUAUGUAUGGAUGAAUGCAUGCAUAUGUAUAACUGAAUGUAUGGAGAUUUAUGAAUGGUUAAAUUAAUGUUUAUGUAUGACUGAAUGCAUGGAAGCUUAUGGAAGUAGGAACGAGUGCUUGUAAGGUAUGUAUUGGAGAACAGAAGAAUGUAGAAAAUAUGGCUUUUUAAAGGGAGUAUAGAAAAUUGUCAUUUUGCAAUUUGCACAGCUCUUUGAGUAGCCCUAACAUUUACUGUACAUUUGCCUUUUAAUUGUUUUUAACCCUGUGCUUGUUGUGUGUCUCUGUGGUAGCUCUUGCAGCUCGUUCCCUGUGUCCAAAACAAAUUUCUCAAAUAAAUAAAGAUACUUUGACUUUGACAAACACACACAUACAUAAAAUAUUGCCUGUAUUGCUAUUGUGUUAAUUGUCAUUGUGUUUUACUGUAUUACUCAAGUGCAGAGAAUGUAUAUAUGUUUCUGAUAGGAUCGCAGUCUCCAUAGCAAAUACACAUAUGACCUGAAAUACCCUUCAGGGCCAAAGUAAAUAAUAACAAUAAUGAUGAUGAUAAUAAUUAAUCAUUAUCCAUCAACCAUGUCAUUUUAUAUCAUAGUCAUUUCAUAUUCCAAUCCUAAAGAGACCACUAAAACUGGACACUGAACACUAGACAAGAUAGGUGUCAAUCUAAUUUGAGCUGAAUGCCAGGGAAUGAAUCAUAUGUGGUAAUCCUUGAAAAUAAAUUCCCACUUCAGCGAACUUCACUGGACUACAUGAUUUAAACUCUCAAUCCACUGUGAGGUGCAUGCAUAUUUGUGGUGCAGGCUUUACGAGAGGCAGUGGGGAGAACAAUCAAGACUAGAGUAAUUUAGGUGCAUAUUACUUGAUAGGGUGGGAAGCAGAGGAUGUGUAUGUGUGUGCUUGUGUAUGUGUGUGUGUGUGUGUGUGU
Molecule: long non-coding RNA, 1085 nt
Organism: Alosa sapidissima (American shad)
Lineage: Eukaryota; Metazoa; Chordata; Actinopteri; Clupeiformes; Clupeidae
Exons: 3
Source: RefSeq, a predicted model, not a curated record